RNAcentral lists this unclassified non-coding RNA (814 nucleotides) under Hevea brasiliensis (rubber tree). Lineage: Eukaryota; Viridiplantae; Streptophyta; Magnoliopsida; Malpighiales; Euphorbiaceae. The record is from RNAcentral.
GGCUAAUCUAACGGUUUGAAGUAAAGAUCUGAGAGUAAUGGCUAAAGAGGGUUCCAAUGGAAAUUCCCAUAUUUCUUCAAAGCCACCACCGACUCCAUCUCCUUUGAGAAGUGCCAAAUUUUUUCAGGCAAAUAUGAGAAUUUUGGUGACUGGAGGAGCUGGGUUCAUUGGCUCACACCUGGUGGACAAAUUGAUGGAAAAUGAGAAGAAUGAGGUUAUUGUUGCUGAUAACUACUUCACUGGAUCGAAGGAUAACUUGAAGAAAUGGAUUGGCCACCCUAGAUUUGAGCUUAUUCGACAUGAUGUCACUGAGCCGUUGUUGAUUGAAGUUGACCAAAUCUACCAUCUUGCUUGCCCGGCAUCUCCAAUUUUCUACAAGUACAACCCUGUCAAGACUAUUAAGACGAAUGUAAUUGGCACACUGAACAUGUUGGGACUUGCCAAGCGUGUCGGAGCAAGGAUUUUGCUUACGUCCACAUCCGAGGUAUACGGAGAUCCUCUCAUUCACCCUCAAGAUGAAAGCUACUGGGGAAAUGUCAACCCAAUUGGUGUGAGAAGUUGCUAUGAUGAGGGCAAGCGAGUAGCCGAAACUCUGAUGUUCGAUUACCACAGGCAACAUGGGAUCGAGAUAAGGAUUGCAAGGAUCUUUAACACCUAUGGACCCCGAAUGAAUAUAGAUGAUGGUCGUGUCGUCAGCAACUUCAUUGCUCAAGCAAUCCGUAGCGAGCCUUUGACAGUUCAAGCACCUGGAACACAAACAAGAAGUUUCUGUUACGUCUCUGAUAUGGUUGAUGGCCUCAUUCGGCUAAUGGAG